This 1218-nucleotide long non-coding RNA is filed under the name Parus major (Great Tit). Its description in RNAcentral is "lncRNA (ENSPMJG00000016984.1)". The record is from RNAcentral. Lineage: Eukaryota; Metazoa; Chordata; Aves; Passeriformes; Paridae.
CUACUAUUCUAUCUCCUUCUGCCCACCUUCUUCCCCCCUCCCUUCAUUAUCAUCAGGGAAUCACAGGCUUUGCCUUACCAACUGUCUGCACACUGUAUUUAAGAAAUAUCUCUAUUCCGGGCUCAGAUUUGGAUGGACUGUUUAAAAUGACUCAUAAAUGAACUCCUUUUCUUGUUUGGAAAUUGUCAGUGAACAGUCUAGUCUCCCUCUAUUUUUGUCUCUUUUUUAAUAGCCGCCUGGUGACUAUAUUUCAUUUUCGGGGUUUCUUGUUAACUGUUCUGAAAAACAGAAUCUGGCUUCUCUUUGUAAACCGUGUUUAUGAGAUGCCAUGACAUGGGACAGCUGUCCCUCAUUGCCUGCAUGACUCAGGUGGUUGUGGGCAGACACCUCUGAACAAUCUAUCGUUCUGCAGCUUCAUGAAACUUAAUUGGGGCUGCGAAAUUAUCACACUCACCCCAAGUAGAAACUGCAGCUUUCCACAAUACUAGCUGAUGAAAUAAGCAAUCCCUCCUUCCCUUCAGUUCUGGCAGCAGUGACUCAUUUCAGUUAAGUCACUUUGACUUACCUUGUUUCUACAGUGGCAGAAUCAAGGCACUCUAAGAAAUGUUAGUACAUGAGUUACAUCUGUAGUGGAACAGAGUUUUUAUGCCUGAAGUCUAUCAACAAAUUAUUUGCAGAACUGCACCUCAUUGCAAAACCUGCUUGGAGACCUGAAGCCCUUCAGACCAGUGGCACUGUGAGCAAACUCUUCACUGGUGGUUCUCAUUUGGCAGACGACUGAAUUUAGUAGUCAGAAAAGUGAGAAGAAGGGUGGGUUUUUGAAUAGUCUUUAAAGGCCUUGGUGAGUUAAAAUCAGCACCUUCAGUUACAUCCAAAAUGAGCAUGGCAUCCCGCUUAUCUUGGUAAGCAUAUUUUUUACACUUUUUUUGGGUCAGAAGAGCUUAUGUGUGCUGGCAUUCUGCACUAAAUGAUGUUCCUCUUUGGGAUGCACCUUUUAUAAUUCUUCACUGUUUUCUUUAUGCUUUAUUCCCUUCCUGUUAUUAAUGGACAACUAAGGUAUGAAGACUAAGUAAUGUGCCAGUGUCCAGGGCCUGAUUUUGUAUUCAAACCUGCUUUACCUGUCUUAAUCAGCAGCUUGGAUUUUAAAUAGCUGGCUUUCUCAGUCCCUUCUAGUCAUGUACACAUGGCAUUUUUUUUUAGUUGAGGCUUAUUGUCAAG